UUUGCCUGCUCUCAUCAACCUUAGCUUCAUCGACCCUCAAGUCAUCGUCUUCUUCGCCACCAUCACUGGUUGCAUCAUUACCUUCCUGGCUAUUGUUCUUCUCCUCUAGUUUCUUAAUCUGUUGCUCCUUCAGAUAUUUCUUCUGUGCAUCCUCUCAUAAUAACUCUAAACUCUUUAAAUUAAAUUCAAGUUCUUAUAGUUAACUCUAAACCGUGGAAGAGAGAAGGACAAAGAAGAAACAACAUAAUCAGUUUAUCAAACAAAGAUCAGAGCUUUAGAUAAAACUCUUACAGAUAUCAAAAGACUUUCAACUAAAGUCUAUAUAUUGAUUGAUAUAAGCCCACAAAGAAGUUGUUUGAAAGCAUAUUAAGACAUAACACCAUGGAACCCAAAUUAACCUGGUGGUAGCAAAUACGGAAGCGUUGAGCAUAGAUAAAUUCCAACAAAGCCCUAAUCAAAUCAGCACCAUCCAUAGAAGCCGAGAGAUCACAUCUGAGAUUUGUUCCAGACCUUAAUGGAAACCUCCCUGGGAGAAAGACGAAGAAGAAUAUGGGCUAGGGCUAUAGCUUCGUGAUACACAGAUGAAGAAGAAGAAGAACCUCGGGUCAGGACUUGGAUUUAACUCUCUAUCACUUCUCUUUUUGCGAACCCUAACCUAAAACAUCGAAAAUGGUUAACACAAACAAAAACGAAACAGUAGACAAAUGACGUGUAGAAACGAAAUAAGUUGAUUGGUUCUUCAAGUUUUUUCAAUUAAUGACAUGUAAGACUCUCAAGACUCUAAAAGUCUGAUGUGUCAACACCAGGAGAGAACCUUGUGCUAUUAUUGUGUUGAUUAGAAUGUGGUAAACUUGGUAUAAAUUGGGAAUGACCCUACGAGAUCACUAAGUUGUCAAACCAAACAUCUAUAAAUCUGAGACAUCUUCAGGUGGACCAGUGUCGUGAUUCUAGUAUUUAAUGAAUCUUAAGAAAAACUUCAUGUGAAAAUGCUUUUAGCGCCAAAAAAUAAAUUACGAAUGACUUGAUCCUCUUUAGAAGUAUGUAGACAGCUUUCACAGAUGCAACUAUACAAAUAUGUAUGUAUAUAUAUGUAUAUCUACAUGCAUAACCUGAGAUGAACUCACUUGAGUGGUCGGAGCACCUUCUCGAGUUGAAGUCACUUUAGUUGGUUCAAGCACCUCACUGAAGAAGCUGAAUCCAAUUUAGCUUAAUUGGUUGGAGCACCUUACGGAGUUGCAAUUUAGUUGUUUCGAGCACCUCUUUAAAGAACCCAAUUCAAACUUAUCUUAAUUGGCUGGAGCAUCUCGGCAAAUCGAAGGGCAUGUUUAUUGGGGAGUUCUUAGGGUGAAUUUCUUACCAUAAUAUAAGAAUCGUCUCUUAACUUUUAACUAAGAAAAACUAAGAACGAGCUUUUAAAUAAGAGUUUUAAGAGACGGUUGUUAGUUUUCCUUAGUUAAAGUUAAGAAACGGUUCUUAUAUUACGCUAAGAACUUCAUUCUAAGAACUCCGCAAUAAACAUGGUCUAAGUCUCUAGCACCUGGCAGAAGAAGCUGAGUCAAAUUCACCCUAAUCUGUUGAAGUACCUCAUCGAGUUGAAAGUUUGCCUAAAAUUGGUCCAAGUAAACUCGUUUUGUAAUAGUUGAGUUGAACUCGACGCAAUCGGUUUGAGUAUAUUUCCGAGUUAAAAAUUUACCAGAAAAAUGGUCAAAUUAAACUAGUAUUUUGUUGGGAACUUAUUCAUUUCAGUUGAAUUUCUUUGGUUAGUGUGCUACAAUUGAUUAUUGUAAUCUUUCCUCAUCAUAUGAAAAACUUUUAAGAUAAAACGCCGUCUUAACCAGUUGUUCAGUAUUAGUUGUUAAUAUAUUUCUACCUAGUUGAAUUCCUUUGGUUAGAAAUUUCUAACCAGAUGAACAUACUCUUUCUAACCAGUUGAACCCAUUCUUUCUAAAUCGAGAUCGAUUUCGUCUCUGAUGAUGAACCGAAGAAACUUAUUAGAGAUGGACUACGAAAAUCCACUUAGGGCAUCUCCAACUCCACUCUAUUUUUUAUUCUAAAAUAUUUCGAGUAAAAAUGCUACCAUAGUACUUUAUUUUUUCAUUCUAUAAUAAAGUUGAAAAAUUGGUUUACUAUCUAAAUAUAGAGUAACUUAUUAUUUAUUUUCUUAUCACUCUAUUUUCUACUCUAAAAUAAACUAUCAUUGUAGUAAAUUCAAAUUCUAUUAUAAAAUUAUUCUAUUUUAGAGUAAAAAAUAGAGUAAGCCAUUGAAGAUUUAGGGUAAGAAAUAGAGUAAGCUGAGAUGCUCUUAUGUUAAAAACAAUAAACCAUUUAAACCAAUCCCAAAAUUUGUCAGAAGCUCUCUAUGUAACGCCUGCGAAGAGUCGAAUCAAAACUCUGACUCUCCUUAUAGACCCAAGAAGCGUCACAUUUUGUCCCCAAAUCUCAUUCUUUCGUACUUUGAAAAAACGCUAAGUGAAAGAAUCACGCUCACUGUUGGACUACAUGACUUAGAGAGACGUAGUGGCUUGGACCGCAUUGAUCAAAAGGUGCGGAUAAAAAGCUAUUUCCACAAGAUGGAAGAUAGAAAUUUGAUCACACGGAUCACUUUGAUAUCGGAACCUGAGCGAUCAGACAGCAGCAAAGCUCUGCUUCUGUUUCAGAGGUUUAAAUCACAAGGCUCUGUGCCAAGUUAUUACACUUUCACAAGCUUAGUGUAGCUGCUUUCUCUAAGAGGGUUUAAUAAGAACAUUGAGUUAGCUAAUGCAUUAAUCUACAUGUAUGCUAAUGCAAUCUCUUCGAAAUUGCAGAGAAGAGGAAUCUUGUAUCUUAGACUUCAAUGAUGAUUGGUAUCACAAGGUAAGGAGUAGAUGCUGUUGGGCUUUUCGAUGAAACGGUUGGUUACAGUAACAGACCAGACCGGAUUGUUUCCAUGGUGGUUCUGAGCGGUGCCGCCAUGCCAGUCUAAUGGAGAAAGGAGUGAAGUUAUCUGUUAUCAGACAAUUUUGAUGAUCAAGAAGCCGGAACUUGAAAGUGAUACACAAAGAUGAAAAUUUGGUUUGUGUUUUAAGUUACCCGUUAUAUGAUUCUCCACCGUUCUAUUUU
This is a long non-coding RNA of Brassica rapa (field mustard), 3099 nucleotides long. RefSeq lists it as uncharacterized. NCBI's taxonomy places the organism in Eukaryota, Viridiplantae, Streptophyta, Magnoliopsida, Brassicales, Brassicaceae. The record is from RefSeq and is a predicted model, not a curated record.